AAUUUUGGACAAUGGGGGAAACCCUGAUCCAGCCAUCCCGCGUGUAUGAUGAAGGCCUUCGGGUUGUAAAGUACUUUUGCCAGAGAAGAAAAGGUACCUCCUAAUACGAGGCACUGCUGACGGUACUUGCAGAAUAAGCACCGCCUAACUACUUCCCACCAGCCGCGGUAAUACGUAGGGUGCAAGCGUUAAUCGGAAUUACUGGGCGUAAAGCGUGUGUAGGCGGUUCGGAAAGAAAGAUGUGAAAUCCCAGGGCUCAACCUUGGAACUGCAUUUUUAACUGCCGAGCUAGAGUAUGUCAGAGGGGGGUAGAAUUCCACGUGUAGCAGUGAAAUGCGUAGAUAUGUGGAGGAAUACCGAUGGCGAAGGCAGCCCCCUGGGAUAAUACUGACGCUCAGACACGAAAGCGUGGGGAGCAAACAG
Molecule: ribosomal RNA, 423 nt
Filed under: uncultured bacterium
Lineage: Bacteria
Description: partial 16S ribosomal RNA
Rfam family: Bacterial small subunit ribosomal RNA
Source: RNAcentral